Molecule: ribosomal RNA, 440 nt
Filed under: uncultured bacterium
Lineage: Bacteria
Description: partial 16S ribosomal RNA
Rfam family: Bacterial small subunit ribosomal RNA
Source: RNAcentral
CCUACGGGAGGCAGCAGUGGGGAAUAUUGCACAAUGGGCGAAACCCUGAUGCAGCGACGCCGCGUGAGUGAAGAAGUAUCUCGGUACGUAAAGCUCUAUUAGCAGGGAAGAAAAUGACGGUACCUGACUAAGUAGCCCCGGCUAACUACGUGCCAGCAGCCGCGGUAAUACGUCGGGGGCAAGCGGUAGCCGGAUUUACUGGGUGGAAAGGGAGCGUAGGCGGCAGGACAAGUUUGGAGUGAAAUCACGGGGCUUAACCCCCGAACUGAUGUGGAAACUGGGCGGCUGGAGUGCGUGAGGGGAAGGCGGAAUUCGUGGUGUAGCGGUGAAAUGCGUAGAUAUUAGGAAGAACACCGGUGGCGAAGGCGGCUUACUGGACUGUAACUGACGCUGAGGCUCGAAAGCGUGGGGAGCAAACAGGAUUAGAUACCCUAGUAGUC